This 688-nucleotide long non-coding RNA is filed under the name Malus domestica (apple). RNAcentral's name for it is "long non-coding RNA (MDOM_LNC002504)". The record is from RNAcentral. Lineage: Eukaryota; Viridiplantae; Streptophyta; Magnoliopsida; Rosales; Rosaceae.
AAAUUUCUUUUUCAAAACAAGUUAUCCAACAGUAGGUACCUUAUUUCUUCAAGAAUCCCCUUCAGCUUUUGCCCUAGAAGAACAUAAAACCCCAACCCCAUCUAUUUCUCUACCAAAGUCCCCGCCCAUCGCUCUACCAUCAAUCGGAAUAAGAGGGUACAUAGACCUAAAAGCAAAACGAAACCUGAAGGAUUAACGUCAACAAGAAGCCGGCUUGUGAGAAGGGAAGAAAAAUGAAAUACUCGGAAGUUGUAAACGUAUCAAAAUGAGACAACGCUGCUUUGGCCCCUCUGGCUUGUUGGAUACAACUUCAAAUAGAUCGAAUGAGCUGCUGCUAAUACGCUACAUAUUAUCCACGGGGAAGUCAUUACCUCUGGUUCAAGGAACACCACCCCUACAGCUUGUUGGUGCAUCCUGUUUAAGUCAUUACCGCUGCUGAAGUCUCUAACAUAGGAGAGUAUAGCUUAUACUAAAUAGCCUGACAUUGCACUGCAAAUCUUCAAUUGUGUUCAAUAUAUGAAUUCGGAAUGUAAAAGCUACUAUAAAAUGAUUAAUUUGUUCAAAAAAUAAAAAAACCCCGACAUAACAUCAUCACAUGAAUCUCUCAUGGGAAUCCAUCAUUAGAUGCAAAAUACAAUGAACUAGAGAAAACCUUACAUGGUUCAGCUCAUGCUGGAAGACCAUCAUC